Molecule: ribosomal RNA, 229 nt
Filed under: uncultured bacterium
Lineage: Bacteria
Description: partial 16S ribosomal RNA
Rfam family: Bacterial small subunit ribosomal RNA
Source: RNAcentral
UGCGUAGGCGGAUUAUUAAGUCAGGGGUGAAAGUUUGCGGCUCAACCGUAAAAUUGCCUUUGAUACUGGUAAUCUUGAGUACAUUUGAGGUAGGCGGAAUGUGAUGUGUAGCGGUGAAAUGCUUAGAUAUAUCACAGAACACCGAUUGCGAAGGCAGCUUACUAAACUGUAACUGACGCUGAGGCACGAAAGCGUGGGUAUCGAACAGGAUUAGAUACCCUGGUAGUCC